This 540-nucleotide ribosomal RNA is filed under the name uncultured bacterium. RNAcentral's name for it is "bacterial SSU rRNA". It matches the Rfam family "Bacterial small subunit ribosomal RNA", at positions 356 to 896 of the family's 1533-position model. The record is from RNAcentral.
GAGGAAUAUUGGUCAAUGGGCGAGAGCCUGAACCAGCCAAGUCGCGUGAAGGAUGACUGUCUUAUGGAUUGUAAACUUCUUUUAUACGGGAAUAACAAGAGUCACGUGUGGCUCCCUGCAUGUACCGUAUGAAUAAGCAUCGGCUAACUCCGUGCCAGCAGCCGCGGUAAUACGGAGGAUGCGAGCGUUAUCCGGAUUUAUUGGGUUUAAAGGGUGCGUAGGCGGCCUGUUAAGUCAGCGGUGAAAUCUAGGAGCUUAACUCCUAAAUUGCCAUUGAUACUGGCGGGCUUGAGUGUAGAUGAGGUAGGCGGAAUGCGUGGUGUAGCGGUGGAAUGCAUAGAUAUCACGCAGAACUCCGAUUGCGAAGGCAGCUUACUAAGGUACAACUGACGCUGAAGCACGAAAGCGUGGGUAUCAAACAGGAUUAGAUACCCUGGUAGUCCACGCAGUAAACGAUGAUAACUGGGCGUAUGCGAUAUACAGUAUGCUCCUAAGCGAAAGCGUCAAGUUAUCCACCUGGGGAGUACGCCGGCAACGGUG